AUUAUAAGAAAAUAAGUUAAAUUAUACCAUAAAUAAAUAAUAUUAAUAAAGUGAGAUGUGGGACCCGUACAACAUUGCUCAAAGUUGUAGUUUUGGACCUUUUUGGGGCUCAAGGACCCACAUAGCACGGUGCAGGUAUAGCACGUGUCGUACACUACAACACAGUACGAAAAUGUUUUGGUAAGUCAAGUGGUACGGCAUGGUAAGCACGCGAGGUCGAUUGUGCUGGAAAUUUUAGACACAUGAGCUUUAAAAGAAAAAUAUAGUUAGAGAUUGGUUAGAAUAUAGUAUGUGAAAA
This 298-nucleotide long non-coding RNA is filed under the name Citrus x clementina. RNAcentral's name for it is "Citrus clementina (C. clementina) long non-coding RNA (CCLE_LNC004721)". Lineage: Eukaryota; Viridiplantae; Streptophyta; Magnoliopsida; Sapindales; Rutaceae. The record is from RNAcentral.